Peromyscus eremicus (cactus mouse) is the source of this 1313-nucleotide long non-coding RNA. RefSeq lists it as uncharacterized. Lineage: Eukaryota; Metazoa; Chordata; Mammalia; Rodentia; Cricetidae. The record is from RefSeq and is a predicted model, not a curated record. The transcript has 4 exons.
CUGGGAAGAGAAAGGCUGAGUCAGGCAGACAGCCCACCGUCUAGGGAGCAGCAUGUAAUGGCACACAGGAAUGAAACAGCACUCUGAAAUGAUCAGUCUGCUAAAGCUGGUAGAGCAAUAUGGAGAACAAACCCCAAUGUGGUAAUAUCCAAUGGUGCUGAAUAAACUAAGAAAAUUCAUCUUCUGCCUGCAGAAGAGAAAGCCAAUCUACUGUGACCUUUUCAGUAUUCUGUAAUUUGAUUCCUUUCCAUGACACCUCUCCAAAUUUACCAUGCCUGAACCUGUGAUUGGAACAGCCAGUCAAGAUAGAGAACACUGAAAAGGCAAAGGAAGAUGAAUCUGUAUGAGUUGGAUACCACCCUGGGCAAGGAAGAAAGAAAGGAAGGAAGGAAGGAAGGAAGGAAGGAAGGAAGGAAGGAAGGAAGAAAAGAAGGAAGGAAAGAAAGAAGACUCCAAAUACCCUAUUAAUUGAAACAAAUACUAUUUAAUUUGUCUGUUGAUCAACAAUUAUCAUGCUUUAGAAAUAUGCAGCAGUGACAACAUCUAUCUGCAUGUCAUAGUAAUUUGUUAACUGACCAAAAUACUAAGGAAGUAAAUUUCACUUGUUGGCCACAAGCUUAAUAGAGAACCGUUACUCCAUAGUUGAGUCUAAUGCUCUAAAGUUGUAACACUGAACAGUCAGGUCUUUUUAAUUUGAAUAUUUUGGAUCUAAAUUUGUCCCACUGGUGCAUUGUUGUUUCAAUCUAAUGUAUUUAGAUGAUAUGAUUUGUUUUCUUUUUUCUCUGUUUUAUAAAGGAGUGAACAACAGUGUAAUUUACAUAAAAUAUUACAAACAGAUCAGUUAUGGUGCUUUCUCUUUUAACAGAGAAUAUUAUAAUUUUACUGGGAUUAACAAGGUUAUAGUGAUAAAAAAAAUCUGAAAAUAUCGUUCUUAUAUCUAUUGUCUAUCUGUUCAUCUCCUUAAUCUUUUCAUAUUUGUAAACAAAUGACUUCUUAUAUACACACUUAUACAUAAAUAUGCUUUGCAUAUUCAUUUAAUAAAAUAAAGUCAAUAAUAUCUUCAUGGACAUCAUAUCCUCAAACCUGCCUAGCAAUAAGAUAAGAGUACUCCCCAAACAACACAGUCCUCAAACACCUGCAGUCUGUUGCUCCUGAGUUGUGAUCAGUAUCCCUUUCACUUGGGUGUGCUCCAUAAAACAGCAACAACAACCAAUUAACCCAGUGCAGCUUUGAAUUUCCAUAGGAGCAAUCACAGCUGGCCAAAACAUUUUACCCAGUAUUGUUUUUAUGUUUCUCUUAUGUUUCGUUUGACC